UCAUUGUAGAAAAACCUAAAUACGUAUAAUUACAGCCUCUCAAGAAGAACAGAACCUUGUUCACCCACAGCCGCCGGAGAUCUUUGCCGAAGGAGACGAUACAAGUCAAGGUGUUUGAAAUCUGGUGGAUUGAGCCGAGGAUUAAAGAAAUUGUAGGGAAAAUUUUACUGUGUGUUAGGGGAGGCAAAUUGAAACCGUAAAUUACAUCGUUGGGCUGUUUUGAUCGGGACCUAACAGGAGGUUGAGGAGACGCAGUAGACAUUUAGCUUUAUUUGCACUGCUAUCAAGGUGAGAAUGCGGAUGGCGGCCAGCAUCCCGAGGCGUGAGCGGUUUCCCAUGGAUACGGAUGGGGUUUAUGGGUAGAGUAGGGUUUAAUUGUCAAGACUUCCGCAUGUUUAGUUUGUAAAGACUUAUUUGAUUAUGUCUUUAAUAUUGUUCUUUAGGAGUUGGACUUUACUUUGGAAUCAAUAAAUGAAUUUUUAGAUUA
This is a long non-coding RNA of Tripterygium wilfordii, 487 nucleotides long. RefSeq lists it as uncharacterized. Lineage: Eukaryota; Viridiplantae; Streptophyta; Magnoliopsida; Celastrales; Celastraceae. The transcript is spliced from 4 exons. The record is from RefSeq and is a predicted model, not a curated record.